Ovis aries (sheep) is the source of this 73-nucleotide non-coding RNA. The record is from Rfam. NCBI's taxonomy places the organism in Eukaryota, Metazoa, Chordata, Mammalia, Artiodactyla, Bovidae.
UUUCUGAUAGUUCAGUUGGUAAAGUAUCCGCCUGCAAUGCAGGAGACCCUGGUUCAAUUUCUGGGUCAGGAAG